ACGGAGGGUGCAAGCGUUGUUCGGAAUUAUUGGGCGUAAAGGGCGCGUAGGCGGUUGUGUAAGUCAGAUGUGAAAUACUUCAGCUUAACUGAAGAACUGCAUUUGAUACUGCAUAACUAGAGUACAGGAGAGGGAAAUGGAAUUCCCGGUGUAGAGGUGAAAUUCGUAGAUAUCGGGAGGAACACCAGUGGCGAAGGCGAUUUCCUGGCCUGAUACUGACGCUGAGGCGCGAAAGCGUGGGGAGCAAACAG
RNAcentral lists this ribosomal RNA (251 nucleotides) under uncultured prokaryote. RNAcentral describes it as "partial 16S ribosomal RNA". It matches the Rfam family "Bacterial small subunit ribosomal RNA", at positions 525 to 775 of the family's 1533-position model. The record is from RNAcentral.